Molecule: long non-coding RNA, 1688 nt
Filed under: Triticum aestivum (bread wheat)
Lineage: Eukaryota; Viridiplantae; Streptophyta; Magnoliopsida; Poales; Poaceae
Description: long non-coding RNA (TAES_LNC000520)
Source: RNAcentral
GCGAGCCGAGCCCUGCGUGGCGGCCAUCGGCCGGCUCCCCCGCUCCUACAAGGCCGACCCCGUGACCCCUGGUAAAACCCUAGCCACUAUCCCCCUCCUCCACCUCGCCUCGUUUCCCCUCGAUCUGGAGCUCACCUGUGAGGAACCGGUGUGCGCCGUCGUCAAAUCCCGUGGCCACCGCCGUUCCCCCGCCCCCUAGAGUUGCUCGGGAGCUCCACCUCCGUCGUCUACGUCCUCUACGCGAACCAUCUCGACCUCAACUCCGCCGCACCAUCGGGAUCGAGUUCUUCUCCGCCUUCAGCCACCGCCGCAUCAUCGCCGGAUUCUUCGCCGUCAGCUCCUCUUCGACCACCCCUGCACCUCCCCUAGCUUGCCCCCAUCAUCACUGUGAGCACCACCAUCUUUUCCCCAUCUCCCUGCUACCGCAUGUGCCUCGUAGCGAACAACCACCGUAGCCAUGCUCCGACCUCCGCUCGGCUUCGCUGCCGCCGCCGUCACCGGACGUAGGUGCUCGUGCUUCUUGCACCUUCGGGCGCGGAGCGUCGCGCUCGUCCUGUAGGACCAAACCCCCGGGCCAAAUGGCCACCGGAGUGCCGAUGCCGCGCUCGCCGUCACCGCGUCUGAAACUCUGCUCCUGUCGCCCUUGGCCACUCCACCCGCACCGUACCCUGUGUCCGGCCGAGCUCCCGCGCGUGCUCGCCGCGCCCGUAGCCGUGCUCCCCCGCGCCACUGUCCGUCCCAGGCCGCGCGCUCGCGUCUGCCCGGCCCGUGCCCCUGCUCCUGCUAGCUGCCGCUGCUACUGCGUGCUGCCUUGCCGCGGCUGCUACCCUCCUCUACAUGCCGCUGCUUGCUCUACUACUGCUGCGCUCCUUCCCCUGUUGCUGCUCGUCCUGCCGCUGGAGCUGCUCUUGUUACUGCCGCUGCUAAUACUUAGCUGAAGCCGUUGCCUUUUUGCUAGCCAUGGUCGUGCACCUGUGUGUGCUUGUGCGUGAUGCACAGCCACAUAGUGGGCCAGCCCAAUUAGUUAAGAGCCUAAUUAAAAGUUAGUUUAGGAUUAUAUUAGUGUUAACUUAGUCUAUAGCAAAUGACAUGUGGGACCCCUCUAAUUAGAUUAAGUAAAUCCAUUUAGAAAUUGUUAAAAUCCUAACAUGUGGGCCCCUAACACUGCUCACUUUUUGACCCAGUCAACUUUGACUAUGCUGAAUUUCUGGCCCCACUUGUCAUACACUCUGGGUAGGAAUUCAUGUGUGCACUUAGCAUGUAUUCAAGUUAAUUCAAAAUUAGUAAUAAUUUCAGGAAUUCUAGAAAUUGAUUAAAACUUUAAAAAUUAAUAUAAAAUAAACCGUAGCUCGGAGGGAAAAACUUUGUACAUGAAAGUUGCUCAGAACGACGAGACGAAUCUGAAUACGCAGCCCGUUCGUCCGCCACACAUCCCUAGCAUAGCAAACAUGCAACUUUCCCCCUCCAGUUCAUCUGUCCGAAAAUGCGAAACGGCGGGGAUACUUUCCCGGAUGUUUCCCCCCUUCGCCGGUAUCACCUCCUACUGCGUUAGGUCACCCCUAGCACCGCGUAUCACCAUGUCAUGCUUUGUGUUGCUUUGAUUGCUCUGUUAUUUAUUAUGUUCCCCCCUCCGUUACUUCUUUCCGGUAGACCCCGAGACUGCCGGCGACCCCCAGUUCGACUACGGU